AUUGAACGCUGGCGGCAUGCCUUACACAUGCAAGUCGAACGGCAGCACGGGAGCAAUCCUGGUGGCGAGUGGCGAACGGGUGAGUAACAUAUCGGAACGUGCCCAGUCGUGGGGGAUAACGCAGCGAAAGCUGUGCUAAUACCGCAUACGAUCUAUGGAUGAAAGCGGGGGAUCGCAGGACCUCGCGCGAUUGGAGCGGCCGAUAUCAGAUUAGCUAGUUGGUGAGGUAAAGGCUCACCAAGGCGACGAUCUGUAGCUGGUCUGAGAGGACGACCAGCCACACUGGAACUGAGACACGGUCCAGACUCCUACGGGAGGCAGCAGUGGGGAAUUUUGGACAAUGGGCGCAAGCCUGAUCCAGCAAUGCCGCGUGCAGGAUGAAGGCCUUCGGGUUGUAAACUGCUUUUGUACGGAACGAAACGGUCUUUCCUAAUGCGAGAGGCUAAUGACGGUACCGUAAGAAUAAGCACCGGCUAACUACGUGCCAGCAGCCGCAGUAA
This 500-nucleotide ribosomal RNA is filed under the name uncultured bacterium. RNAcentral describes it as "partial 16S ribosomal RNA". It matches the Rfam family "Bacterial small subunit ribosomal RNA", at positions 30 to 523 of the family's 1533-position model. The record is from RNAcentral.